This 1417-nucleotide long non-coding RNA is filed under the name Astyanax mexicanus (Mexican tetra). Its description in RNAcentral is "lncRNA (ENSAMXG00005013819.1)". Lineage: Eukaryota; Metazoa; Chordata; Actinopteri; Characiformes; Acestrorhamphidae. The record is from RNAcentral.
GUUUUCGCAGCAUGUGUUGCUUUUUGACUCUUGGUUGGUAGCCUCAGUAUCCGCUGACCUUGCUGUUAUUUUACGCAUCAGCUUCCACUUGGUUAUAAUAGCACUGACAGUUGACUGUGUAGCAGUACUGUUCAGUAGUAAAGUCCUGAGAGCAUUCUUUGACUAAUGUCUGUAGAUGAGACCAGAAUUCAAUUAUUUAGAAGAGUGAAUAAUUUUGGCAAUAUAGUGUAUGUAAUACUUGACUUUUUUUCUCAAUAAAUACAUGAUUUUUUUCGUUUUCCAUUUGUACGUUUUACGUAGGACUAGUGUGGAACUCUGAUGAAGUUUUCUGUCAGAUUUCUGCAGAAUUCUAACCGCUUCACACACUGGAACGUGCGGUUGUUGAAUGAGCGCGCGACGUGAUGGUGGUUCGCCGCUGCUGCUCGCGCGGUCUUUCUGAAAGCGCUCCGUUACCGAAAGCGAAAGCGCGCGCGGUGAUUGAUGGCGGAAGUGUCUCGGCCUGAUCAGACUGGAAUUGUGGAGAAACCCAACGCGCAGCGCCAGUAGCCCGUGACAGCGGGGGAAACUGGAGGCGCGCGGGGGAAUUUCGGCGAUGUUGGGAGAGGAGCUCUCCGCGCGCGCGUCAACUCCGCUCCUUCCAGAACGCUCGACCGAGCCAGAGAGCGCGCGCUGAACGCGGAGCAGCGUCGAGCGUAACGGCCGAGCACCAUGUGAAGGAUGCACGAGCCUGCUGAAGAAGACUCUCCGCAGAUCAUGAUCAAUGAGUGGGACCAGGAUUCUUCUCUGUAUGGCUGUGAUGCUGCUCCUCGGGGUGGUCUACGCUAGAAGAAGGUGCGACUACUCCAUAAUCCUCUCCUCCUACAGACUGCUGAUCUUUCCUGAGCUGCAGAGUCUGAAUCUGACUGGUCCAUUUGGCAUGUCUAAAGAAAACAACGGCUGUGCUUCUAAUAAGGUGACUCAUAUAUUGCGAUCCAUUUAUCGCAUGACCGAGCAGUUUGUGUGUCUCACUGACGGCCUGCAGGGAAACGAGAUGACUGCCGUUGUGUCCAAGAUGGCCCAGCUCAUCCAACUGUACUGCAGGAAGAAAUCCACGGAAAAUGGACGCAGUGUAAAGCCCUGCAAACCUGUGCGGAGGAAGAAAAAAGCUAAAAAACAAAUGGAACAAGGAAGGAAGAUGAUCCAGAGGCUCAUAAAUUGCUGGCAGAAGCUGCAGAGUGUGUAUUCUUAAUAUGGAUGAUAUGGAGGACAGUUUUUGAACAAAGCGUUCCAGAGCAGGAGGAUCUACAUGGUAUAUUUCUUGCCUCCGUUUGUUGAUGUAACUGAUUAGAGAGUCAGGUGCUUAGACUGCAGUAAACAGAUUUUAAGAAGCACCUUACUGUUAAAUAAAUGUAUAUUAUGCUGUUUAUAUUAAUAAUCU